CCCCGGCUUAUUCGGCGCCAGCUGUCUCGGCCCCAGGGGGAUCAAUAUAUAUCCCUCCCGAACUCACACUCUCUUCUUUAUAACAUUCUCGCACAAGAAUGGGAGCGCUCCACACACUCUCUUCUUCAGAACAUUCUCGCACAAGAAUCGGAGCGCUCCAUCAACGGUCUCUUCUCUUCUGAACGUUCGUUGCCGAAAUCAAACGCUAGAUAAUUACCAAGCAAUUGGAGGAAGAGAGAGCAGAAUCGAAAGGAGUUUCUCGCCUGAUCCCGGUGAUGAAAAAUAGAGAUGAGAGGAGGACGCCGAACUGUUAUGUAAUUGCGAUUGGUUCCGAGAGGGGAAGAACAAAGCAGCUGCUCUUGAUGAAGUGAUUGCUUGGGCAAAAGAAAAGCAGUUCGUCCUGUCGGGAUUUUCGCAUCUGCUAGGAAUACUGGAGUGGUAGAUAUUGCGUCAUCAAUUUUUGAGACUAUUUGAGUCAAGGGCAGAAUGAUGGCAAUCAAUUUGUUGAAAUCUAAGGAUGGUCCGGUUCAUGUAACGUUUGCUUUAAACAAUUAGGGGUUCAUAAAAUAUAACCACACAACUCACUAAGAUGGAAAUGGAGGACAUAGAUGGAGAUGAUAAAGUUGAGGUCAAGGAAUCUAACUCCGGUUGCUACUUUCAACGCUCACGUAAGAAAGUUUCUACUUAACAUUAUAAACUACCUUAUCUAUAGCCUAAAUCUCAUGAGAAUUACGUUAUUGGCAAUCUUGUGGUCCUAUAUUUAAUCUUUAUUAUAUCUUUGCCUUUUCUUUUU
Molecule: non-coding RNA, 793 nt
Organism: Cucurbita pepo subsp. pepo (vegetable marrow)
Lineage: Eukaryota; Viridiplantae; Streptophyta; Magnoliopsida; Cucurbitales; Cucurbitaceae
Source: RefSeq, a predicted model, not a curated record